Molecule: ribosomal RNA, 253 nt
Filed under: uncultured bacterium
Lineage: Bacteria
Description: partial 16S ribosomal RNA
Rfam family: Bacterial small subunit ribosomal RNA
Source: RNAcentral
UACGGAGGGGGCUAGCGUUGUUCGGAAUUACUGGGCGUAAAGCGCACGUAGGCGGACUGUUAAGUCGGGGGUGAAAUCCUGGGGCUCAACCUCAGAAUUGCCUCCGAUACUGGCAGUCUCGAGUGCGGGAGAGGUGAGUGGAAUUCCCAGUGUAGAGGUGAAAUUCGUAGAUAUUGGGAAGAACACCAAUUGCGAAGGCAGCUCGCUGGGACGUUACUGACGCUGAGACGCGAAAGCGUGGGGAGCAAACAGG